GGAUUCAGCGGCGGACGGGUGAGUAAUGCCUAGGAAUCUGCCUGGUAGUGGGGGAUAACGUCCGGAAACGGGCGCUAAUACCGCAUACGUCCUGAGGGAGAAAGUGGGGGAUCUUCGGACCUCACGCUAUCAGAUGAGCCUAGGUCGGAUUAGCUAGUUGGUGGGGUAAAGGCCUACCAAGGCGACGAUCCGUAACUGGUCUGAGAGGAUGAUCAGUCACACUGGAACUGAGACACGGUCCAGACUCCUACGGGAGGCAGCAGUGGGGAAUAUUGGACAAUGGGCGAAAGCCUGAUCCAGCCAUGCCGCGUGUGUGAAGAAGGUCUUCGGAUUGUAAAGCACUUUAAGUUGGGAGGAAGGGCAGUAAGUUAAUACCUUGCUGUUUUGACGUUACCAACAGAAUAAGCACCGGCUAACUUCGUGCCAGCAGCCGCGGUAAUACGAAGGGUGCAAGCGUUAAUCGGAAUUACUGGGCGUAAAGCGCGCGUAGGUGGUUCAGCAAGUUGGAUGUGAAAUCCCCGGGCUCAACCUGGGAACUGCAUCCAAAACUACUGAGCUAGAGUACGGUAGAGGGUGGUGGAAUUUCCUGUGUAGCGGUGAAAUGCGUAGAUAUAGGAAGGAAC
This 623-nucleotide ribosomal RNA is filed under the name Pseudomonas aeruginosa. RNAcentral describes it as "bacterial SSU rRNA". It matches the Rfam family "Bacterial small subunit ribosomal RNA", at positions 88 to 707 of the family's 1533-position model. Lineage: Bacteria; Pseudomonadati; Pseudomonadota; Gammaproteobacteria; Pseudomonadales; Pseudomonadaceae. The record is from RNAcentral.